GUUUGUGUGACGUGUGUUUGGUGUGAAUUUCAUGCAUGUUUGGUGUUUGAUGUGUUUGGUGAGCAUUUUCUGUGCGGUUGUCGCGUGUUUGGUGUGUUGAGAUGUUUGACAUGUAUUUGAUGUGUGUUUGGGUUGCGUUUGGUGGUUGUGUCUCUGGUGUUUGUAUGAUAUUUGUUUGGUGUGUGUCUGGUGGGAGUUUGGUGGAUGUGCACUGUUUGAUGUGUGUUUGGUGUGUGUAAAUGUCUUGUGUGUGUCUGAGUGUCUGGUGGGAGUUUGGUGGAUGUGUACUGUUUGUUUGGUGAGUGUUUGGUGUGUGUUUGAUGUGUGCUUUGUGUUAACAUGCCAGCAGCACUUACUGGUAUGUUUGGUGGGUGUUUGGUGUGUGUUUGAAUUGUGUUUGGUGUGUGUGUUUGGUGAGUGCUUGAGUGGUGUGUGUUUGGUGUGUGUUUGGUGUGUGUUUGGUGUGUGUGGUGUGUGUUUGAAUUGUGUGUGUGUGUGUGUUUGGUGUUUGAGUUGGUGAGUGUUUAGUGUGUGAGUAGUGUGUGUUUGGCGAGUGUGUGGUGUGUGUUUGAAUUGUGUGUGUGUGUAUUUGGCGAGUGUUUGGUGUGUGUUUGAAUUGUGUGUGUGUGUAUUUGGCGAGUGUUUGGUGUGUGAGUAGUGUGUGUUUGGCGUGAGUAGUGUGUGUUUGGCGAGUGUUUGGCGUGUGAGUAGUGUGUGUUUGGCGUGUGAGUAGUGUGUGAGUAGUGUGUGAGUAGUGUGUGAGUAGUGUGUGAGUGGCGAGUGUUUGGUGUGUGAGUAGUGUGUGAGUAGUGUGUGAGUAGUGUGUGAGUGGCGAGUGUUUGGUGUGUGAGUAGUGUGUGAGUAGCGUGUGAGUAGUGUGUGAGUGGCGAGUGUUUGGUGUGUGAGUAGUGUGUGUUUGGCGAGUGUUUGGUGUGUGAGUAGCGUGUGAGUGGCGAGUGUUUGGUGUGUGAGUAGCGUGUGAGUAGCGUGUGUUUGGUGUGUUCGGCGUGUGAGUAGCGUGUGUUUGGUGUGUGAGUAGCGUGUGAGUAGUGUGUGAGUAGUGUGUGAGUAGCGUGUGUUUGGUGUGUGAGUAGCGUGUGAGUAGUGUGUGUUUGGUGUGUGAGUAGCGUGUGAGUAGCGUGUGUUUGGUGUGUGAGUAGCGUGUGAGUAGCGUGUGUUUGGUGUGUGAGUAGCGUGUGAGUAGCGUGUGUUUGGUGUGUGAGUAGUGUGUGAGUAGUGUGUGAGUGGCGAGUGUUUGGUGUGUGAGUAUAGUGGGUUUGGCGAGUGUUUGGUGUGUGAGUAGCGUGUGAGUGGCGAGUGUUUGGUGUGUGAGUAGCGUGUGAGUAGCGUGUGUUUGGUGUGUGAGUAGUGUGUGAGUAGUGUGUGAGUGGCGAGUGUUUGGUGUGUGAGUAGUGUGUGAGUAGCGUGUGAGUGGC
This is a long non-coding RNA of Ictalurus punctatus (channel catfish), 1436 nucleotides long. The record is from Ensembl. Lineage: Eukaryota; Metazoa; Chordata; Actinopteri; Siluriformes; Ictaluridae.